GCUCUACAUGCUGGCUGAGGAAUUUCUGACUGGAGAAGGCCAGAGAGCAGGAGGCACAUGGAUGGAUCUCUGGCUUUGGUUCUGCUGAAAGAAGAAGUUUUUGGUCAGGCCUCCUUCCCCUGGUUGGUCUCCCAGCCAGUCCUUGUCACCCCACCUCUCCUGCCUUGGAUGGCGCACUAGCUGGUGCUUCUGCCUGGACCUCUUUGCCCACAGAACAGUGGUGCCCACCUCUCUGUGCUGUGAGCUCUCCCUUCCACUUGCUUCCACACUUGAUGCCCAGCUCCUGGCCAUACUCAUCUCCAUACCAGACCAGUAGUUCACUGCCCGGCCUGAUGAGCUGGC
This is a non-coding RNA of Manis javanica (Malayan pangolin), 342 nucleotides long. The record is from RefSeq and is a predicted model, not a curated record. Lineage: Eukaryota; Metazoa; Chordata; Mammalia; Pholidota; Manidae.